Solenopsis invicta (red fire ant) is the source of this 1284-nucleotide long non-coding RNA. RefSeq lists it as uncharacterized. Lineage: Eukaryota; Metazoa; Arthropoda; Insecta; Hymenoptera; Formicidae. The record is from RefSeq and is a predicted model, not a curated record. The transcript has 2 exons.
GCUGAAAGACACGAUCACAAUUGUAGCUCGGCAAUUGUAGCUAUUUCUUUUUUUAAUAUUAUUAAUUUUACAAUUUUUUUAUUGUACAAUAUAUUGAAUGUUAUUGACUUCAUAUCUUACUAUCGCGUAAGUUUACAUACAUUAAUAAUAUUUAAUAUAUGACAGUAACUAUGCGAAUUAUGGCAGUUAAUAGGGCAGAUGAAACAAUAUCCUGUCGAAGCGGUGCCAAUUAACUAACGAGAUCUAAAAUAAACCGCAAUGGAGGCCAUGGCGAUCGAAAGGUGGCUCAUUAAUUCCUGACGCUUCUUACGGCGCCAUAAUUCCGAGCAACGACAAGAAUAAAUCGAUGAUGAUGAUGAUAUCUCAGCCUAAUUUGACAGUGAUCUCAUUUCGUAACGUUAAUGAGCUGCGAACCGGAAGUGACAUCGUCCGACAUUAUGACCGAUCGUCUGCAAAGAGGCAAAAAUUCCGCUCAGCUGGCUCACAAUGAGAAAAUUACAUAAAACGGCUGUCAUCCGAGUGGCAUUACGAACAAAUUUGGUUUGCCAAGUUCCGUUACGGGUCGUUCCGUCAUGUGCCACCGCUUUUGCGCGAUAUUACGAAAUUACGAAUCCGCAGAUGCAUCGCACAUACAUACAUCGUCGAUUCGCCACGCGGAUCUUCUAUGUUUACAGUUCGAGUUGUCGAAACAUCCGUGAAAACAAACUUCUCUCGGAUGAGUUCCCGUAAUAUUCCGUCGCGGAUAUUCUCGCGAAGUCGCGCGCGCCGGAGAGAAAAUUUGGAGACGCCAGGCCAUGAUUAACGCGACCUUUGGAGAGCCGUAAACAACAGCUUUCCGUGAUAUUUUCUCGCGGAAAGCAAUUUCUCAUUUCAUCUCUACUACGUAAAGUCACGUCGAGGUAAUCGCUUUGAAAGAGUAGCUCGAGAUUUACGUGCGAUUCAUCCACAACGUUUUUAUUAGUCUUGAAAUUAUUAGCUUCAGCUCGAGGAACAAUGAAAAAAAUAUAAGACACAUUGAUAUUACUCAUCUCAGUCUAGUAUUAAAAUUUUCCUUACUUUUCUAUUUUUAUAUCUUUUUGAAUCAAGCUUUUUCUCGAAGAUAAAGAAACAUAAUUAUAUCUAUAUAUAUUUCUUAUACAUCUAUAAUUAUAAAAAAUAUGAUUAUCAUAUUACAAUGAUCAAUUUAUAGCAAUUGGAUAAUUGAAGAUAAAAAAAAUUAACAAAUAUGGCUUAAUAAUAGAUUAAAUAAUAAAUUAUAUUGAAAUAUAUAUAUAAAGAUAUAAA